ACGCUGGCGGUAGGCUUAACACAUGCAAGUCGAGCGAGAAAGUAUCUUCGGAUAUGAGUAGAGCGGCGGACGGGUGAGUAACGCGUAGGAAUCUACCUAGUAGAAGGGGAUAGCCCGGGGAAACUCGGAUUAAUACCGUAUACCUCCUAAGGGAGAAAGAGGGCCUCUCUUGAAGCUCUCGCUACUAGAUGAGCCUGCGUAAGAUUAGCUUGUUGGUAAGGUAAUGGCUUACCAAGGCUACGAUCUUUAGCUGGUCUGAGAGGACGAUCAGCCACAUUGGGACUGAGACACGGCCCAGACUCCUACGGGAGGCAGCAGUGGGGAAUAUUGGACAAUGGGCGCAAGCCUGAUCCAGCCAUACCGCGUGUGUGAAGAAGGCCUUCGGGUUGUAAAGCACUUUAAGCAGGGAGAAAAAGCAAUAGGUUAAUACCUUAUUGCCGUGAUGUUACCUGCAGAAUAAGCACCGGCUAAUUCCGUGCCAGCAGCCGCGGUAAUACGGAAGGUGCAAGCGUUAAUCGGAAUUACUGGGCGUAAAGCGCGCGUAGGUGGUUGGUUAAGUUGGAUGUGAAAGCCCUGGGCUCAACCUAGGAACUGCAUCCAAAACUAACUCACUAGAGUACGAUAGAGGGAGGUAGAAUUCAUAGUGUAGCGGUGGAAUGCGUAGAUAUUAUGAAGAAUACCAGUGGCGAAGGCGGCCUCCUGGAUCUGUACUGACACUAAGGUGCGAAAGCGUGGGUAGCGAACAGGAUUAGAUACCCUGGUAGUCCACGCCGUAAACGAUGACAACUAGCUGUUGGGAGGCAAUGUCUUUCAGUGGCGCAGCUAACGUUUUAAGUUGUCCGCC
Molecule: ribosomal RNA, 844 nt
Filed under: uncultured Gammaproteobacteria bacterium
Lineage: Bacteria; Pseudomonadati; Pseudomonadota; Gammaproteobacteria
Description: bacterial SSU rRNA
Rfam family: Bacterial small subunit ribosomal RNA
Source: RNAcentral